RNAcentral lists this long non-coding RNA (222 nucleotides) under Gallus gallus (chicken). Lineage: Eukaryota; Metazoa; Chordata; Aves; Galliformes; Phasianidae. The record is from RNAcentral.
CCCUCUUGUCAGGGGUGAGGUUGAUCACACAGUUGGAGAUGACAAUAUCAUAGCUCUCAUCAGCCAGUCCAACAUCACCAAGGUUCUCCACGUAACCCUGGAGGAAUUCCACGUUUGGCUUUUGGUAGCCGAACUUCUCCAUGUGAUAGGCAAUGUGCUUCUUCGCCACCUCGACCUGUGCCUCAGUCAUGUCGAUGCCGGUGACAUGGCCCUGCUCCCCCA